This 465-nucleotide ribosomal RNA is filed under the name uncultured Sphingobacteriales bacterium. Its description in RNAcentral is "bacterial SSU rRNA". It matches the Rfam family "Bacterial small subunit ribosomal RNA", at positions 916 to 1382 of the family's 1533-position model. The record is from RNAcentral. Lineage: Bacteria; Pseudomonadati; Bacteroidota; Sphingobacteriia; Sphingobacteriales.
GGGGCCCGCACAAGCGGCGGAGCAUGUGGAUUAAUUCGAUGCAACGCGAAGAACCUUACCUAGGCUUGACAUAUACAGGACGACGGCAGAGAUGUCGUUUCCCUUGUGGCUUGUAUACAGGUGGUGCAUGGUUGUCGUCAGCUCGUGCCGUGAGGUGUCGGGUUAAGUCCCAUAACGAGCGCAACCCUUACCGUUAGUUACCAUCAGGUUAAGCUGGGGACUCUAGCGGGACUGCCACCGUAAGGUGAGAGGAAGGUGGGGAUGACGUCAAAUCAGCACGGCCCUUAUGUCCAGGGCUACACACGUGUUACAAUGGCCAGUACAAAGGGCAGCUACCGGGUGACCGGAUGCUAAUCUCUAAAGCUGGUCUCAGUUCGGAUCGAAGUCUGCAACCCGACUUCGUGAAGCUGGAUUCGCUAGUAAUCGCGCAUCAGCCAUGGCGCGGUGAAUACGUUCCCGGGCCUU